Molecule: ribosomal RNA, 982 nt
Filed under: Metarhizium anisopliae
Lineage: Eukaryota; Fungi; Ascomycota; Sordariomycetes; Hypocreales; Clavicipitaceae
Description: SSU rRNA
Rfam family: Eukaryotic small subunit ribosomal RNA
Source: RNAcentral
AUUAUAUAAGUUAUCGUUUAUUUGAUAGUACCUUACUACUUGGAUAACCGUGGUAAUUCUAGAGCUAAUACAUGCUAAAAAUCCCGACUUCGGAAGGGAUGUAUUUAUUAGAUACAAAACCAAUGCCCCUCGGGGCUCUCUGGUGAUUCAUGAUAACUCGUCGAAUCGCACGGCCUUGCGCCGGCGAUGGUUCAUUCAAAUUUCUUCCCUAUCAACUUUCGAUGUUUGGGUAGUGGCCAAACAUGGUGGCAACGGGUAACGGAGGGUUAGGGCUCGACCCCGGAGAAGGAGCCUGAGAAACGGCUACUACAUCCAAGGAAGGCAGCAGGCGCGCAAAUUACCCAAUCCCGAUACGGGGAGGUAGUGACAAUAAAUACUGAUACAGGGCUCUUUUGGGUCUUGUAAUUGGAAUGAGUACAAUUUAAAUCCCUUAACGAGGAACAAUUGGAGGGCAAGUCUGGUGCCAGCAGCCGCGGUAAUUCCAGCUCCAAUAGCGUAUAUUAAAGUUGUUGUGGUUAAAAAGCUCGUAGUUGAAUCUUGGGCCUGGCUGGCCGGUCCGCCUCACCGCGUGUACUGGUCCGGCCGGGUCUUUCACUCUGCGGAACCACAUGCCCUUCAGUGGGUGUGGCGGGGAAGCAGGACUUUUACUUUGAAAAAAUUAGAGUGCUCUAAGCAGGCCAAUGCUCGAAUACAUUAGCAUGGAAUAAUAAAAUAGGACGCGCGGUUCUAUUUUGUUGGUUUCUAGGACCGCCGUAAUGAUGAAUAGGGACAGUCGGGGGCAUCAGUAUUCAGUUGUCAGAGGUGAAAUUCUUGGAUCUACUGAAGACUAACUACUGCGAAAGCAUUUGCCAAGGAUGUUUUCAUUAAUCAGGAACGAAAGUUAGGGGAUCGAAGACGAUCAGAUACCGUCGUAGUCUUAACCAUAAACUAUGCCGACUAGGGAUCGGACGAUGUUAUUUAGUUGACUCGUUCGGCACCUUAC